This 534-nucleotide long non-coding RNA is filed under the name Sarcophilus harrisii (Tasmanian devil). Its description in RNAcentral is "lncRNA (ENSSHAG00000020656.1)". The record is from RNAcentral. Lineage: Eukaryota; Metazoa; Chordata; Mammalia; Dasyuromorphia; Dasyuridae.
GGGCGUGGCCUGGCCUUUCUUAGCUAUGGCAGCGGCGGCGGUAGCGGGCCAUUCGGCUCCAUCCCUAUCCAUGUUCAUCCUGGAUCUUGGAGACCUCCAGCCGGCGGCAAUGGAUAGGUUUCUGGUGUUAAACUUCCUUCUCAGACUCACCAUCAAGUAGCUCGUCCUAUACAAAACAGAAGAGUUGGAACUGUGGCCAAUAUGAGGAGAUUGCAUCGGAAAGGGUGCUGAUCACUGACUGACUGGGUCCUAGCAAUUGUUGCUUUGCUAGAUGGGAAUUGGCUUUUCAUCAGCUUUGAAUGGGACGGGGGAGCAUGGAGCCUUCUUCAAGAUCUCGAUACCUUUUGGAUAUCAGAACAAGUAAAUAAAUGAUGCUUAAUAAAUCUAAUUUUUACAAUAAUCCUGUUCUGUUUCACUUCUGUUCCCUAGAAUUUGUCAAAAUGGUAGUCAUCAGAACCAGUAGGUCAUGUAGGGUGGGAGUAGAAUGGAGAAAUUAUAUGCUGGCGUUUGAAGAUCCAAAAAGCAGAAGUAAAC